Molecule: long non-coding RNA, 5906 nt
Organism: Felis catus (domestic cat)
Lineage: Eukaryota; Metazoa; Chordata; Mammalia; Carnivora; Felidae
Exons: 3
Source: RefSeq, a predicted model, not a curated record
GGAGAAACAGUUCCCCUCACAAAGGGCAGCCGGGAGAAAAGCGGCUCAAAGCCGGACGACAAAGAAGAGGGGCGGGGGUUUCUGUGUCUUGCUAACAUUGUGGUAACCAGUGUCUUGCACGGAGAGGGGCUCAGGACAAUGUGUGCAACCAAGGAUUUCAAGAACCCUGCGGUGCUGGACGUGGCCUUUGCUCAUGCUAUUCUUACUGCCUGAAAGGAUCGCGCUGUUCUGGAAAUGGGAAGGUCGUGGGCAGGUUUGGAAAAGAGCAGGCUGAGCGAUUUGGAUUUUAUUGAAUGAGCAGUGGGGAGCCACUGAUGGUUUUGGAACCAGAGACAUUAGUAUGGAUUCAAGGUAGAAUGUGAUGAAGACAUUUAUAGACCCUGAGAAUGCAGAUCACGACACUCCCAAACCUUCACCUUAUAUGCUUCAAAGUGAAAACAGUACCAACUGGUGAAACACAAAACAUCAGAUAUAUUGACUUUGAAAAAACUCAACUCUAUAUCUUCUGAAUGCAAAAUUCUGAAAACAGAAAACAGGAUCCUUUUCCACGCCUGUCUCUACUUUUCCUUCCCAUCCAAGGCUGCCAUGAUCUCUUUCUUCAUUCUCCCCGACAGUUAUAGAAUUUUAUAAGGUUCAAACACAGAGAUCUAACAAAAUUAAGUGGCCAUUGCUCAACUAUACAUUUUCUUCACACAAAACUAGGAGAUGGUUUAGCAUAAUUGCUUCAGAAUAAAUCCUCUCACUUUGGCUGCAGCUUCAGAGAAUGCACUGAGAAUAGCCUCAUAGCGCUGCUAUCGUAUAUCCAAAGUGUCCUUUUUUUUUUAAGAUUUUAUUUUUUAUUUUUUUCAUGUAGUUUCUAUCCCCAACGUGGGGCUCCAGCUCACAAUCCCCAGAUCAAAAGUCACAGGCUGUACCAACUGAGCCAGCCAGGCGCCUCCUAGAGUAUCUUUCUUGAAACCCUUAAAAGUUGAUGACAUUUUAAGGAAAUCUUGGUUUCGUGUAUUGAAUAUAUUAGAUUAGAGCACUCCUAAGUUUGGUGGACAGUAACGAAACUAGUUUGUAAGCCGCAGAAUGCAAUCCUAUUCCAGCACUCAAUUUCAGAACAAGGAUGAGAUUAUUACUACAACUGGUGAGCACUGGGCACCUACCUAAAACCAGCCCAGUCCUUCAUUUUGCCUAAUGCUGAUUUGAAAGCAAAAGGGUAUUGAUUUCACAGGAGUCCUCCAGCCCCAAGCUUUUUUAACAAUUAAAUUAAAUAUGAAAAGGAGCUGACUGAUGGUUUCAUGGAUAAAAAAUGAAACUCAAAAUUAAAUCCGAAAUCUGUCACCACCAGGUCUCUUUAAAACAGAGAAACCCUCUUUACCAUAAAAAUCCUUAUCGUCUUGACCACCAUGCUUUAAUGAAAUACAACUAUUUCUAUGUGGCUCGUUUCAAAUCCCAUAUUAAACAAAGGGGAGAGGUUCCAUUAUCUUUCAGCCUUUAACAUCCCAGGAUAAAUUGGCUGUUUGUCUACUAUUUGUCCGCCACUGUUAGAAAUUAAGUCUUUGUUACUGACAGGGGUAAAUCUUAGCUGGGCAGAUCAAUAGAAUUAUUUCUCUCCUCAGACAGUAGAAGUUAGGAAGAUAAUGAUUAGCAAUGUCAUUAAAAAAAAAAAAAAAAUUCUGCCUUUCAUUAGCAGUUUGUGCUCCAGAAAACGCUUUCUGAGUUGCUGAACAAAAGACAGUUCCUAGGUUGAACAGCUUCACGUGCCAGGGAAAUUUUCUGCAACCCUGAAACCUAAGUGCCUAUCAACAAAACAAAACAAAAAAAGAUUCUAUAUGCAGUCUAGUCUCAGAACCAUAGGAAAGCCUUCAUAAUUAACACUCUUUGAAUCUGUUAUAGGUCAAUGCUAAGCCCUGUGUUACUGCACGGAAGGCCAUCAAUGGCCACACUAUCAGAAGAAGAAGAAAGCACAGGCUACACAAAAUGCUUCCGCAAUAAGAAUAGUAACUCUGCUCUCAGAAAACAGACUGCUCUAGCUGGCUUCACACUUUGGCCCCACGUGGUUUCUUUGGAAACUACUUGUCAUGAAAUUUUAUGAUCUGUUAAAAAAAAAAAAAAAGUGUCAGAAGCUAUCUUCUUACCUACCUCAGAAGGAUGUUGCAAAGAUUAAAAUUAGAUAAUUGUGAAAGUGUUUCUAACUCUCCUUAGGGAAGACUUGGGGGCACGCUUUGUGGAUAAGCUUGUUCUUUGGAACUUUGAAAUACUCGUCAUGAUCCCAUCUCACAGCCCUCUCCCAAUUAAAAGCCCGGGAUUCUGCAUCCUUGGCAACAGACACUUCUGUUGACCCCAUAUAUGUGGAUUUCCCAAAUAUUUCUACCUUCUACUCCAGAGCCCUUCCCACCUAAAUUCCCCAAAUUCUACAUUAUCAAAACCAACUCUCACCUAAGACCUGCAAAACAUUCACAUUCAGUUGUAAGUCACUAGUAUCUGUUUAGGGAGCUACACCCUCCUAAAUAUUUUUACCUCCUAUUCCUCUCCUUCAGACUCUGAUACACCUUCUCUCCCUGUCCUGCUUGUAUAUUCUCUCCCACAACCUAUCAUCCCCAGUGAGCAGAAGAGAGAGGAAAUUCCAUUACUGUUAAAAAUCAUUAUGUAUUAUAAGAGAUGGUCCAACAGGGGUGUGACGCACAUAGGAACGGUUUGGAAGGGAGUGCGGGAAGGCUUUAAGUGAAAUCCUAAGAGUAGAAUUUCGAAUGAAAUUUGAGGGCCAUAAACUCAGGGAACAGGGGGCAUCCCCUGAAGUCACUCACCUUGGGUGCUCCCUGUUCCACCUAGAGGCUAACCUAACCCUGAUUACAGGGCCGCAUGCUUCCAGGCACCGGGGGCUGAGAGGUACAGAACACGGUGAUGGCUUCUCAGGGACGGGCAUGUUUGGUAUACAGCAUUCAGUUGCAGACAACAGAUGCCACCUAUGAGUUAACGUAAGCAGAAGGUACUUAUUUCCAAGUAUUAUGUGGCUUCCUAAAUCGUGGAAAAGUAGAGGAACAGGUGCUGACUGAGCUACGGAGAACAACUUACAACUGCCUGUGCCAUUGUUGGAAGAGUAGCUGCCGUUGCUAUCGGGUGCAAGAGAAUCAGGAAGUGGCUAGUUCUGCACUGUGAUGCCUCUGCCACCGUCUGCUCCAGCAGGAGUGGAUGUUUCUGGUCCUGCUUCUUCCAACACUCUACUCAGUUCCAGAUCCAAGUGUCACGCAAACGCGUCAGUCCAAAAGAACCUAAAUCACAUACGGAAUGCUCACUGUAAGAUGGUCUAGGAAAUGCAGUUUUUGGCUUUCAAGACUCUACGGUACAGAAGUGUUGAACAAUUCACAAAAUCUACUACAUUGUAUUUCUAAUGAGUGAAGCUCCAGUAAGACCGAAGACCAAUCUUGAAGUACUAAAUCCCUUUAUUUACAACUACUUUCUGUGAAACAUUUUUUCAAGGGCUCUCCACUUUUCCCAGCCCCCGAUAAUGAUAAAAAGGACCACAGUCAAUUUAUUUUGUUCUCAAUGAUCCAAAACCAUAACCAUAAACAUCGCUUACUGUGCUGCAAAUACCAGUGUGUAUAUGUGUGUAUAUAUGUGCGUGUAUAUACAUGUAUGUAUAUAUUUAUGUGUGUAUAUAUAUAUAUACAUGGAUGUAUAUAUGAAUAUAUAUAACAAUAUAAGGAGGAAUACUCAUGACUAUUUUAGUCCUCUUUUCUAAAUUUUUUUUUAAUGUUUAUUUUUGAGACAGAGAGAGACAGAGCAUGAACGGGGGAGGGGCAGAGAGAAAGGGAGACACAGAAUCUGAAGCAGGCUCCAGGCUCUGAGCUGUCAGCACAGAGCCCGACGCGGGGCUCAAACUCACGGACCAUGAGAUCAUGACCUGAGCCGAAGUCGGACGCUUAACCAACUGAGCCACCCAGGCGCCCCUUAGUCCUCUUUUCCAUAACUGGUCACAUGGUUGAAGCCGGCAUUUAUAAAACUACCUUCUUCCACUAUCCAUUCCAUAUUCCCUUUGCUUUUAGCGAGCACCUCAACUGGUCAUAGUUCUUUACCUGGUGGGGUGACCUUAACCUUCAUUCCUGAAGGGUCUGAUCCAUUAGAAGUCCUGCCCGGAUUGGGUUGUUGUAGUGUUCUACUGAUAUUAAUCAUAGGGGAUGGUAAUAAUAAGAUGCCCUAAAGGAUCUCCUAUUUUCCUAACAUACUUUUCCUUCCAUCCAUAAGGGAUGGCUCUUCCUAUUUAUCCUAUUGGUAAACAGGAUCAAUCACCCCAGGCAAUACCAUAACUCCCUUCUUUGCCUAUUGAUUCAAAGGUAUGAGGAUCCCAAAGUGGUGGGGUGGCAGUCUUUACUUCCAAUUCAAAAGGAUCAUUGUGUCUCCUGAUGGAAGCAUUCCUCCUUCUGGAACUACUAAGACCUCUAACCCAGCAGAGGCUAAGCUAUGGGAAUAGGAAGCAAAAACUUUUUUUCAGUGGGUCACUAGGUGUAAUAGUGAGUGGUACCACUCCCAUCUUCACCCCUCGAUUUUUGGAUCCGUGAAUCCUAACUAUGAGAGAAAUAGCACCAUAAACUGAAUGCUGAUUCAGAACAUAGGGCAGCCUUCUGGGAAAUUUGCCUCAGCUCUGCAAGGUACUGCCACCUACACAGCACUCUAACUGAGUCUUUGAAAGGCCAUUCUGCUGCUGCUUCAGGAUGGGUGGGGGACAUGACAAGAACAGUGAGUUCCAGAAACAUGGGCCCAUUGCCAUGCUUCUUUUGCUAGGAAGUGAGUUCCUUCAUCAGAAGCAAGCUAUGUGGAUACUGUGAUGGUGGAUGAAGCAUUCUGUAAGUCCACAGAUGGUAGUUUUGGCAGAAGCAUCGUGUACAGUGAAGACAAAUCCAUACCCAGAGUAAGUGUCUAUUCCAGUAAGAACAAAACAUGCCCCUUUCUUUAUGGAGGUGAUCCAAUGCAAUCAACCUGCUACCAGGUGGCUGGCUGAUCACCCCCAGGCAGUGGUGUCACGCCAGGGACUUAGUGUUGGACUCUGCUGCUGGCAGAUUGGACUUGCAGCAGUUGCUAUAAUCAGGUUGGCCUCGGUAAGUGGAAGUCCAUGUUGCUGAGCCCAUGCAUGACCUCCACCUCCACCACCAUGGCCACUUUGUUCAUGAGCCUGUUUGGAGAUGGCAGUGAUGGCUGGAGAAAGAAGUGGGUUGGUAUCCACAGAACAGGCCAACCUAUCAACUCAAUUAUUAAAAUCCUCCUUAGCCGAGGUUUGGUGCUCUUUGGUGAGCAUUCACCUGGGACACAAAUAUCUUCACCCUUUUUGCCCAUUCAGAGAUGUCUAUUCACAUAUCUCUUCCCCAAAUCCCUUUACCAUCAAUUUUCCAAGUCAUGUUCCGAGUCCCUGGCCAUUAAGCCAAACCAUUAGCCAUCGCCCAUAAAUCAGUAUUUAAUCACACAUCUGGCCAUUUCCCUUCCCGAGCAAAGUGGCCAACUAGGUGCAUUGCUCAAAAUUCCACCCACUGGGAGGAUUUCUCUUCACCACUGUCCCAGGAAGGAGCUGCCAUGCUGCAGCUGUUCACUUUCCGGUGGUACCCACAUACCAUGCACAACCCUCCGUAAACCAGGACUAAAUCUUCUCUUCCACAGAUUGGAAAGACCUCCCCGUAAGUCCAUAGGUGCAGACUGGGAAAAAGAAGUCAGUGCAACAGGAGUGGGGACCAUUGGCGUUUGGGCCACUUCUUCAUGUAACUUACCGUGUCUUCAGGACCUGCUUAGACCCAAUCACCUACAUUCCACCUACAUUCGAUGAUGGAGUACUGCUACGCAUGCUCAACUUCACAGUUUUGUGGCUCAGGUAACACCCAGUUCAUGUUAGGCAGCUCAGGUCACAUGGUAACUUGGUGGCCCAUGGCUAAGAC